This 84-nucleotide non-coding RNA is filed under the name Fukomys damarensis (Damara mole-rat). The record is from RNAcentral. Lineage: Eukaryota; Metazoa; Chordata; Mammalia; Rodentia; Bathyergidae.
GUGUUUUAUGAAAAGAGAGAAGGUUAGCACUCCCCUUGACAAGGAUGGAGGAGGCCCUUGAGCCUGACAACAAGUGUUGCUUUU